UAAUCUUGAACGCUGAGUUCUUUCUAUGGCCUACCCCAUAGAAAGAAGCGGGGGACCCAACACUUGGGGUGAAUCUCCUUCAUAAUAGGGAAUGAGACCCUAUUAUGAGGAGUAGGGUUACCUCUUCAACCCGAACCCGUCAGCUAACCUCGUAAGCGUGGAAAGAGGAGGU
RNAcentral lists this small RNA (172 nucleotides) under Thermosediminibacter oceani. RNAcentral describes it as "c-di-AMP sequence". It matches the Rfam family "c-di-AMP riboswitch aptamer (ydaO/yuaA leader)". From Rfam's summary of the family: This family represents a conserved RNA structure found upstream of the ydaO and yuaA genes in Bacillus subtilis and related genes in other bacteria. The ydaO/yuaA element is thought to act as a genetic "off" switch for the ydaO and yuaA genes in its native state. The record is from RNAcentral. RNAcentral also lists the same sequence under 1 other name. Lineage: Bacteria; Bacillati; Bacillota; Clostridia; Thermosediminibacterales; Thermosediminibacteraceae.